RNAcentral lists this ribosomal RNA (461 nucleotides) under uncultured Desulfobulbus sp. RNAcentral's name for it is "bacterial SSU rRNA". It matches the Rfam family "Bacterial small subunit ribosomal RNA", at positions 920 to 1382 of the family's 1533-position model. Lineage: Bacteria; Pseudomonadati; Thermodesulfobacteriota; Desulfobulbia; Desulfobulbales; Desulfobulbaceae. The record is from RNAcentral.
CCCGCACAAGCGGUGGAGCAUGUGGUUUAAUUCGAUGAUACGCGAGGAACCUUACCUGGGCUCAAAUGUAUGUUGACGUAUUCUGAAAGGGAUACUUCUUCGGACAAUAUACAAGGUGCUGCAUGGUUGUCGUCAGCUCGUGCCGUGAGGUGUCGGGUUAAGUCCCAUAACGAGCGCAACCCCUAUCAUUAGUUGCCAUCAGGUCAAGCGUGGGGACUCUAAUGGGACUGCCGGUGUUAAACCGGAGGAAGGUGGGGAUGACGUCAAGUCCUCAUGGCCUUUAUGACCAGGGCUACACACGUACUACAAUGGCCGAUACAAAGGGCAGCGACACUGCGAGGUGAAGCCAAUCCCGUAAAAUCGGUCUCAGUCCGGAUUGGAGUCUGCAACUCGACUCCAUGAAGUUGGAAUCGCUAGUAAUCGUGGAUCAGCAUGCCACGGUGAAUACGUUCCCGGGCCUU